RNAcentral lists this ribosomal RNA (253 nucleotides) under uncultured bacterium. RNAcentral describes it as "partial 16S ribosomal RNA". It matches the Rfam family "Bacterial small subunit ribosomal RNA", at positions 524 to 776 of the family's 1533-position model. The record is from RNAcentral.
UACGUAGGGUGCAAGCGUUGUCCGGAAUUAUUGGGCGUAAAGAGCUCGUAGGCGGCUUGUCACGUCGACUGUGAAAACCCGGGGCUCAACUCCGGGCCUGCAGUCGAUACGGGCUGGCUUGAGUGCGGUAGGGGAGACUGGAAUUCCUGGUGUAGCGGUGGAAUGCGCAGAUAUCAGGAGGAACACCAACGGCGAAGGCAGCUCGCUGGGACGGUACUGACACUAAGGCGCGAAAGCGUGGGGAGCGAACAGG